AUUGAACGCUGGCGGCAGGCCUAACACAUGCAAGUCGAGCGGAUGAAGGGAGCUUGCUCCUGGAUUCAGCGGCGGACGGGUGAGUAAUGCCUAGGAAUCUGCCUGGUAGUGGGGGAUAACGUCCGGAAACGGGCGCUAAUACUGCAUACGUCCUGAGGGAGAAAGUGGGGGAUCUUCGGACCUCACGCUAUCAGAUGAGCCUAGGUCGGAUUAGCUAGUUGGUGGGGUAAAGGCCUACCAAGGCGACGAUCCGUACUGGUCUGAGAGGAUGAUCAGUCACACUGGAACUGAGACACGGUCCAGACUCCUACGGGAGGCAGCAGUGGGGAAUAUUGGACAAUGGGCGAAAGCCUGAUCCAGCCAUGCCGCGUGUGUGAAGAAGGUCUUCGGAUUGUAAAGCACUUUAAGUUGGGAGGAAGGGCAGUAAGUUAAUACCUUGCUGUUUUGACGUUACCAACAGAAUAAGCACCGGCUAACUUCGUG
This 483-nucleotide ribosomal RNA is filed under the name uncultured bacterium. RNAcentral's name for it is "partial 16S ribosomal RNA". It matches the Rfam family "Bacterial small subunit ribosomal RNA", at positions 30 to 507 of the family's 1533-position model. The record is from RNAcentral.